Molecule: ribosomal RNA, 448 nt
Filed under: uncultured bacterium
Lineage: Bacteria
Description: SSU rRNA
Rfam family: Bacterial small subunit ribosomal RNA
Source: RNAcentral
AGGAUGAACGCUGGCGGCGUGCCUAAUACAUGCAAGUCGAACGAAGCCUUCGGGCUUAGUGGCGGACGGGUGAGUAACACGUUGGUACCUACCCCGAAGUGGGGAAUAACUGCCCGAAAGGGUGGCUAAUACCGCAUAAUACCGCAAGGUUAAAGCAGUAAUGCGCUUCGGGAGGGGCCUGCGUCCCAUUAGCUAGUUGGUGAGGUAAUUGCUCACCAAGGCGACGAUGGGUAGCUGGAUCGAGAGGUUGACCAGCCACACUGGGACUGAGAUACGGCCCAGACUCCUACGGGAGGCAGCAGUAAGGAAUCUUCACAAUGGACGAAAGUCUGAUGGAGCAACGCCGCGUGCAGGAUGACGGUCUUCGGAUUGUAAACUGCUUUUUAUAUGGGAAGAUUAUGACGGUACCAUAUGAAUAAGGACCGGCUAACUACGUGCCAGCAGCCGC